Molecule: transfer RNA, 70 nt
Filed under: Salmo salar (Atlantic salmon)
Lineage: Eukaryota; Metazoa; Chordata; Actinopteri; Salmoniformes; Salmonidae
Rfam family: tRNA
About the family: Transfer RNA (tRNA) molecules are approximately 80 nucleotides in length. Their secondary structure includes four short double-helical elements and three loops (D, anti-codon, and T loops).
Source: Rfam by way of RNAcentral
UCCUGUGUGGCUCAGUUGGUAGAGCAUGGUGUUUGCAACGCCAGGAUUGUCGGUUCGAUUCCCACGGGGG